RNAcentral lists this ribosomal RNA (587 nucleotides) under Melampsora sp. HNMAP3135. RNAcentral describes it as "eukaryotic LSU rRNA". It matches the Rfam family "Eukaryotic large subunit ribosomal RNA", at positions 85 to 655 of the family's 3401-position model. RNAcentral also lists the same sequence under 2 other names. The record is from RNAcentral. Lineage: Eukaryota; Fungi; Basidiomycota; Pucciniomycetes; Pucciniales; Melampsoraceae.
AACGGCGAGUGAACAGGGAGAAGCCCAAAUUUGUAAUCUGGCACUUUUUACAGGUGUCCGAGUUGUAAUUUGUAGAACUGCUAUCCGUACUGGACCAUGUACAAGUCUGUUGAAAAGCAGCAUCAUUGAAGGUGAAAAUCCUGUAGAUGAUAUGGACUACCAGUAUAUUUGUGAUGCGGUUUCUAAGAGUCGAGUUGUUUGGGAAUGCAGCUCAAAGUGGGUGGUAAAUUCCAUCUAAGGCUAAAUAUGAGUGAGAGACCGAUAGCAUACAAGUACCGUGAGGGAAAGAUGAAAAGAACUUUGAAAAUAGAGUUAACAGUACGUGAAAUUGCUGAAAGGGAAACGUUUGAAGUUAGUUUUGUAUUCGUUGGAUCAGCUUCGCAAGGAGUGUAUUCCGAUGAUAGGCAAGUCAACAUCAAUCUAUGAGUGUUGGAUAAGGGUUUUGAGAACGUAGCAAUUCAGUUGUGUUAUAGCUCGAGACUUGGAUACGAUGCUUUGGAUUGAGGAACGCGUAGUAAGCUUUGAGCGGAUUCGAAAGGAUCUCCUUACUAUGGAUGUUGGUGAAAUAACUUUAAGCGACCCGUCUU